GCCUUCGUAGUGUAAUUGUAGCACACUCGGCGUGUAUCCGAGAGGUCCAGGUUCGAGUCCCGGCGAGAGUA
RNAcentral lists this transfer RNA (71 nucleotides) under Stegodyphus mimosarum. It matches the Rfam family "tRNA". Rfam says of the family: Transfer RNA (tRNA) molecules are approximately 80 nucleotides in length. Their secondary structure includes four short double-helical elements and three loops (D, anti-codon, and T loops). The record is from Rfam by way of RNAcentral. Lineage: Eukaryota; Metazoa; Arthropoda; Arachnida; Araneae; Eresidae.